CCUACGGGUGGCAGCAGUGAGGAAUCUUGGUCAAUGGACGCAAGUCUGAACCAGCCAAGCCGCGUGAGGGAUGACUGCUCUAUGGGUGUCAAACUUCUUUUAUAUGGGAAUAAAAUGUUCCACGUGUCGGAUUUUGUAUGUACCAUAUGAAUAAGGAUCGGCUAACUCCGUGCCAGCAGCCGCGGUAAUACGGAGGAUCCGAGCGUUCUCCGGAUUUGUUGGGUUUAAAGGGAGCGUAGGUGGGUGGUUAAGUGAGUUGUGAAAGUUUGCGGGUCAACCGCAAAAGGGCGGUUGAAACUGGGAGUCUUGAGUGCAGAAGAGGUGGGCGGAAGUCGUGGUGUAGCGGUGAAAUGCUUAGAUAUAGCGAAGAACUCCGAUUGCGAAGGCAGCUCGCUGGACUGCAACUGACGCUGAGGCUCGAAAGUGUGGGGAUCAAACAGGAGUAGAUACCCGAGUAGUC
RNAcentral lists this ribosomal RNA (460 nucleotides) under uncultured bacterium. Its description in RNAcentral is "partial 16S ribosomal RNA". It matches the Rfam family "Bacterial small subunit ribosomal RNA", at positions 338 to 795 of the family's 1533-position model. The record is from RNAcentral.